This 449-nucleotide ribosomal RNA is filed under the name Pomacea insularum. RNAcentral describes it as "partial small subunit ribosomal RNA". It matches the Rfam family "Microsporidia small subunit ribosomal RNA", at positions 719 to 1311 of the family's 1311-position model. The record is from RNAcentral. Lineage: Eukaryota; Metazoa; Mollusca; Gastropoda; Architaenioglossa; Ampullariidae.
UCUGGAUUAUAAACUUAUUUACCUGAGCACUAUGAAUAGAAGAUUCUGUGUUAAUUUAAAACUCAAAAGGCUUGGCGGUGUUUUAGACUUUUCAGGGGAACCUGUCUCUUAAUCGAUAGUCCACGAUAGACCUAACUUUAUUUUAGGGUAUGUAUACCGUCGUCAACAGGUGACUUUUAAAAAAAUAAAAGUUAGCAAGUAAAAAGAUUUAUUUUUUAUGUCAGAUCAAGGUGCAGCUUAUAAAAAAGUGAGGAUGGGUUACAAUUAAUAAAAUUUUAAUUACGAAGAUGUUGAUGAAAUUCAUAUUUGAAGGAGGACUUGAAAGUAAAAAUUUAAUUAUAUAGAUGUUUUGAAUAUAGCUCUGAAACGUGCACACAUCGCCCGUCGCUCUCGUUGAAAAAUGAGAUAAGUCGUAACAUAGUAAUGGUAACGGAAGUUGCCGUUAGAUG